Molecule: transfer RNA, 65 nt
Filed under: Eropterus sp. UPOL A00558
Lineage: Eukaryota; Metazoa; Arthropoda; Insecta; Coleoptera; Lycidae
Description: tRNA-Phe
Source: RNAcentral
UUUUAAUGGCUUAUUUAGAGUAUAAUAUUGAAGAUUUUAAGGAAGUAAAUUUACUUUAAAAUAUU